RNAcentral lists this ribosomal RNA (447 nucleotides) under Clostridioides difficile. RNAcentral describes it as "partial 23S ribosomal RNA". It matches the Rfam family "Bacterial large subunit ribosomal RNA", at positions 1562 to 2023 of the family's 2925-position model. The record is from RNAcentral. Lineage: Bacteria; Bacillati; Bacillota; Clostridia; Peptostreptococcales; Peptostreptococcaceae.
UGUGAUGGGGAGCGAAAUUUAGUAGCGAAGUAGCUGAUUUCACACUGUCAAGAAAAGUCUCUAUCGAGGUUAAAGGUACCCGUACCGCAAACCGACACAGGUGGGUGAGGAGAGUAUCCUAAGGCCAGCGAGAGAACUGUUGUUAAGGAACUCGGCAAAAUGACCCCGUAACUUAGGGAUAAGGGGUGCCACCAUCAGGUGGCCGCAGAGAAUAGGCCCAAGCGACUGUUUACCAAAAACAUAGGUUUCUGCUAAGUCGCAAGACGACGUAUAGGAGCUGACGCCUGCCCGGUGCUGGAAGGUUAAGGGGAUCUGUUAGAGCAAUCGAAGCAGUGAACUUAAGCCCCAGUAAACGGCGGCCGUAACUAUAACGGUCCUAAGGUAGCGAAAUUCCUUGUCGGGUAAGUUCCGACCGACGAAAGGCGUAACGAUUUGGGCACUGUCUCA